This is a long non-coding RNA of Monopterus albus (swamp eel), 844 nucleotides long. RefSeq lists it as uncharacterized. The transcript is spliced from 3 exons. Lineage: Eukaryota; Metazoa; Chordata; Actinopteri; Synbranchiformes; Synbranchidae. The record is from RefSeq and is a predicted model, not a curated record.
GUUUUGUUGCAGCUAACUGCUAUUUUUUAAUCCUCUGGCAGCUCUCCUCUGCUGCUCUGUGGAAGACAGAGGGAAGUAUCACAGUGCGGCAUCAUGACUGACUUAAAUACACAGUUCAGAGCAGCAGCUGCCACCGAGAAGCCACAGGAGACUUUUGCUGAUCGCUCGGAGCUGCCGGAAGACUGCUGAGCCAGGCAUUAAACCAACUGCUCUGGGCAUCUGCCCGGCAUCCAGCAGUCAGCGUCCUCCGGCAGCUGCCAGUGUGCAGGAGGUCCUUUAGUCACAUGGCCCGUGCUGAUAUGACUCACACACACACAGAAUUCCUUUCAACAAACCUUUGGGGGGUUUCUCUAAUGAAACACACCUGACCUGAAGGUAAACCAAGGCAAGACAAAUCACAUGGACUACAUCAGAUGUCACGGCAAAGGAUGUCCCGGAGCAAGGAGGCUGCUGGAGGGAUCUGAGCAAGGAGGCAUGAGAGCAUCUUUAGUGGACUGACACAACACUUUUCAAACAUUUGUUGGAGGGAAGGACGUCUCAUGUCUCUAACAAGGUGUUUCCUUGUUUCCUCUGUUCUUCUCUUGCAUCUUAUGUGGGUGGGACUAAGACACAGGAGGGAAAUGUGGAUGCAGUUAAGUGAAGUGGGAUUUACCCGGCGCUGUUUGUUGCGUCCAGCGCUGUCCUACUGUGGCUGUAAUGAUCACUAGCAGGCGUGAGAGUCAGUGAUCAGGGACAGUCUCUGUACUGAGGGACAAACUGACUUGGUGUGUCGCAGACAGAGGUGCACACAGGCCUUUGCAUCCACACAGGCCAUUCCUCUCCCCUCCCUCAUCCAUCCAAGUCA